AAAGGCGAAAAGAACCCCGGCGAGGGGAGUGAAAAAGAACCUGAAACCGUGUACGUACAAGCAGUGGGAGCACCCUUUGGGGUGUGACUGCGUACCUUUUGUAUAAUGGGUCAGCGACUUAUAUUCUGUAGCAAGGUUAACCGUAUAGGGGAGCCGGAGGGAAACCGAGUCUUAAUUGGGCGUUAAGUUGCAGGGUAUAGACCCGAAACCCGGUGAUCUAGCCAUGGGCAGGUUGAAGGUUGGGUAACACUAACUGGAGGACCGAACCGACUAAUGUUGAAAAAUUAGCGGAUGACCUGUGGCUGGGGGUGAAAGGCCAAUCAAACCGGGAGAUAGCUGGUUCUCCCCGAAAGCUAUUUAGGUAGCGCCUCGUGAAUUCAUCUCCGGGGGUAGAGCACUGUUUCGGCUAGGGGGCCAUCCCGGCUUACCAACCCGAUGCAAACUGCGAAUACCGAAGAAUGUUAUCACGGGAGACACACGGCGGGUGCUAACGUCCGUCGUGAAGAGGGAAACAACCCAGACCGCCAGCUAAGGUCCCAAAGUCAUGGUUAAGUGGGAAACGAUGUGGGAAGGCCCAGACAGCCAGGAUGUUGGCUUAGAAGCAGCCAUCAUUUAAAGAAAGCGUAAUAGCUCACUGGUCGAGUCGGCCUGCGCGGAAGAUGUAACGGGGCUAAACCAU
Molecule: ribosomal RNA, 679 nt
Filed under: Salmonella enterica subsp. enterica serovar Fallowfield
Lineage: Bacteria; Pseudomonadati; Pseudomonadota; Gammaproteobacteria; Enterobacterales; Enterobacteriaceae
Description: partial 23S ribosomal RNA
Rfam family: Bacterial large subunit ribosomal RNA
Source: RNAcentral